This 462-nucleotide ribosomal RNA is filed under the name Triticum aestivum (bread wheat). RNAcentral describes it as "partial small subunit ribosomal RNA". Lineage: Eukaryota; Viridiplantae; Streptophyta; Magnoliopsida; Poales; Poaceae. The record is from RNAcentral.
AUGGAGGCGUGGCGGCGGUUGGUGCGCGUCCAGGCGGGCGGAGGUCGGCUGGCUUGCUUGCUCCGCCGUGUGACAGCGCGGGCGGCCGCCCUGCAUUGGUUGGUGGUGGCGGCGGCGCGGUGGUGGUCUGCCAUGAUCGUCUCCUCCUCGAGGUGGUGGCUCAUGGCGGUGGUGCGGGUCGUUCACGGCAGCGGCCCGUCGGUGUGCGGCCUGUGUGGACCUUCAAUCCUUCUCUUUGGGCGUCCGUCCGCUAUCUUCAUCGACGGUUGGCCCUCCGCCAGUGACGGUCCAUCACUCGUCUCCCACCCGCAGCAGGACCGAGCUUGUCUCGCGCUCGGCAGCAGGACCGAGCCUGUCUCGCGCCCGGCAGCAGGACCAUGCUCGUCUCGCGCCAGGCAGCAGGACCGAGCUCGUCUCGCGCCCAGUGCCGAGGACGGGGUGAUGGAGGCUAGCCUCGGCUAG